This 521-nucleotide unclassified non-coding RNA is filed under the name Dampiera stricta. RNAcentral's name for it is "partial miscellaneous RNA". The record is from RNAcentral. Lineage: Eukaryota; Viridiplantae; Streptophyta; Magnoliopsida; Asterales; Goodeniaceae.
ACUUUGUUAUGGUUGUCUAGCCUUUUUGAGCUAAAAAGGGAGCAAUAGCUUCCCUCUUGUUCUAUCAAGAGGGUGUUAUUGUUCCUUUUUUUUUUUUUUUUCCCAAAUUUUUAAAUAAAAAAAAAAAAAGACGUUUUGCAAAAAAAUAAUUUUCUUAUUUUCCCCCAAGAAUUAGGGGGCUUGGGAGCCCCAUUUAAAAAAGGAAAAAAAUUUUUUUUGGGUGGKYYMCCCCUUUUUKAGGUAAAAARGGRGCCAAAGSUYCCCUUYUUUUUUUUCAAAAGGGGGGGKUWUUUUUCCCUUUUUUUUUUUUUUUCGCAAAGUAUUAAAUCAAAAAUAAAUAAUAUGCCAUUUAAUGUUUAUUUAAUGGUAAUUAAUAAAUCUAAAUGGAGAAAUCUAGUAAUAGUCCAUAGGUAUGAUAGGUAAUCAUAGGUAAUCGUAGGUAAUCAUAGGUAAUCGUAGAUAUUAGUGUAGAUAUUAUAUUAGUAUAGUAGAUAAUAGUAGAUAUUCUAAUAGUAGAUAUU